GAUGUAGUUUGCAGUGCCUUAGCUCAAUUGCAUAUUAUUAUUCACUUUGACUGAGCAGCCUCAUGGAUUUGUUGGUGAUACCUCACCAUCAUCAGGCUCAAAGGCGUGCUAUGCAGUUAGGCAAGUCAUGUCUACCUCCAAUUUUUCUCCCUUUUAGAUGUGAGAAAGUUUAUUUUUGCGUCCUUUCACCUAGAAGCUUUCCAUCCGUGACCAAGUUAAUGAUUCUUAGUUUCGGCAUCACACGAAGAAAUUUUUUGCUACUUGUUUUUGGAUUUUAGGAAUACCUUGAAAAAUAUAAAAAGAGAUAGAUAAGGGCGAGAUGAUGUGAGAAACAUAAGAAGAAGAGGUCAAAAUGUGUAGAGAGAAAAGGGAGAGAGUGAGAGAGAGAUGAAGAGACAGUGACAGAGAGAUGGAGAGAGGCCUAAAUAGGAAGAUAAAGAGAGCAAAAGCGAAGGAUAGAGGGAGACAGAGAUGGGGAGAG
Molecule: unclassified non-coding RNA, 481 nt
Filed under: Hevea brasiliensis (rubber tree)
Lineage: Eukaryota; Viridiplantae; Streptophyta; Magnoliopsida; Malpighiales; Euphorbiaceae
Source: RNAcentral